This 500-nucleotide ribosomal RNA is filed under the name uncultured bacterium. RNAcentral describes it as "partial 16S ribosomal RNA". It matches the Rfam family "Bacterial small subunit ribosomal RNA", at positions 30 to 523 of the family's 1533-position model. The record is from RNAcentral.
AUUGAACGCUGGCGGCAGGCCUAACACAUGCAAGUCGAGCGGAUGACGGGAGCUUGCUCCUGGAUUCAGCGGCGGACGGGUGAGUAAUGCCUAGGAAUCUGCCUGGUAGUGGGGGACAACGUUUCGAAAGGAACGCUAAUACCGCAUACGUCCUACGGGAGAAAGCAGGGGACCUUCGGGCCUUGCGCUAUCAGAUGAGCCUAGGUCGGAUUAGCUUGUUGGUGAGGUAAUGGCUCACCAAGGCGACGAUCCGUAACUGGUCUGAGAGGAUGAUCAGUCACACUGGAACUGAGACACGGUCCAGACUCCUACGGGAGGCAGCAGUGGGGAAUAUUGGACAAUGGGCGAAAGCCUGAUCCAGCCAUGCCGCGUGUGUGAAGAAGGUCUUCGGAUUGUAAAGCACUUUAAGUUGGGAGGAAGGGUUGUAGAUUAAUACUCUGCAAUUUUGACGUUACCGACAGAAUAAGCACCGGCUAACUCUGUGCCAGCAGCCGCCGUAA